CCUACGGGGUGCAGCAGUGGGGGAUAUUGCACAAUGGGGGGAACCCUGAUGCAGCGACGCCGCGUGGGUGAAGGUGCGUUUCGGCGCGUAAAGCCCUAUCGGCAGGGAACAAUAAGGACGGUACCUGACUAAGAAGCCCUGCCUAACUACGUGCCAGCAGCUGCGGUAAUACGUAGGGGGCCAGCGUUAGCAGGAUUUACUGGGUGUAACGGGGGCGCAGACGGCAGCGCAAGCCAGGCGUGAACGCCCGGGGCCCAACCCCGGGACUGCUCUUGAAACUGCGCGGCUGGAGUGCAGGAGGGGCAGGCGGAAGUCCUGGUGUAGCGGUGAAAUGCGUAGAUAUCAGGAGGAACACCGGUGGCGAAGGCGGCCGGCGGGACUGCGACUGACGUUGAGGCCCGAAAGCGUGGGGAGCAAACAGGAUUAGAUACCCCUGUAGUC
This 441-nucleotide ribosomal RNA is filed under the name uncultured bacterium. RNAcentral describes it as "partial 16S ribosomal RNA". It matches the Rfam family "Bacterial small subunit ribosomal RNA", at positions 338 to 795 of the family's 1533-position model. The record is from RNAcentral.